Molecule: non-coding RNA, 138 nt
Organism: Hypoxylon trugodes
Lineage: Eukaryota; Fungi; Ascomycota; Sordariomycetes; Xylariales; Hypoxylaceae
Source: the annotation of a RefSeq genome assembly
GGGCUUGUGGUUUAGUGGUAUAAUACUCCCUUAGCACGUGACAAAUGAUCCAGACCUAGAUGGCUUGCCGUUGAUGGAAUGAUAAUCAUCAAUUGUCAAGCUUGGGAGUGGUCCGGGGUUCGAUUCCCCGCGAGUCCA